GAUGAACGCUGGCGGCGUGCCUAAUACAUGCAAGUCGAGCGAACAGACGAGGAGCUUGCUCCUCUGACGUUAGCGGCGGACGGGUGAGUAACACGUGGAUAACCUACCUAUAAGACUGGGAUAACUUCGGGAAACCGGAGCUAAUACCGGAUAAUAUAUUGAACCGCAUGGUUCAAUAGUGAAAGACGGUUUUGCUGUCACUUAUAGAUGGAUCCGCGCCGCAUUAGCUAGUUGGUAAGGUAACGGCUUACCAAGGCAACGAUGCGUAGCCGACCUGAGAGGGUGAUCGGCCACACGGGAACUGAGACACGGUCCAGACUCCUACGGGAGGCAGCAGUAGGGAAUCUUCCGCAAUGGGCGAAAGCCUGACGGAGCAACGCCGCGUGAGUGAUGAAGGGCUUCGGAUCGUAAAAUUCUGUUAUUAGGGAAGAACAAAUGUGUAAGUAACUAUGCACGUCUGGACGGUACCUAAUCAGAAAGCCACGGCUAACUACGU
RNAcentral lists this ribosomal RNA (496 nucleotides) under uncultured bacterium. RNAcentral's name for it is "partial 16S ribosomal RNA". It matches the Rfam family "Bacterial small subunit ribosomal RNA", at positions 28 to 506 of the family's 1533-position model. The record is from RNAcentral.